AUUGAACGCUGGCGGCAUGCCUAACACAUGCAAGUCGAACGGCAGCACAGUAGGUAGCAAUACCUAUGGGUGGCGAGUGGCGGACGGGUGAGUAAUGCUUAGGAAUCUGCCUUAUGGUGGGGGAUAACUAACCGAAAGGUUAGCUAAUACCGCAUACGCCCUUACGGGGAAAGCGGGGGAUCGAAAGACCUCGCGCCAAUAGAUGAGCCUAAGUCCGAUUAGCGAGUUGGUAGGGUAAAGGCCUACCAAGGCGACGAUCGGGAGCUGGUCUGAGAGGACGGCCAGCCACACUGGAACUGAGACACGGGCCAGACUCCUACGGGAGGCAGCAGUGGGGAAUAUUGGACAAUGGGGGAAACCCUGAUCCAGCAAUGCCGCGUGUGUGAAGAAGGCCUGCGGGUUGUAAAGCACUUUCGGUUGGGAAGAAAAGUUUGGCGCUAAUACCGCCGAACCUUGACGUUACUGACAGAAGAAGCACCGGCUAACUCUGUGCCAGCCGCCGCCGUAA
This 508-nucleotide ribosomal RNA is filed under the name uncultured bacterium. RNAcentral's name for it is "partial 16S ribosomal RNA". It matches the Rfam family "Bacterial small subunit ribosomal RNA", at positions 30 to 523 of the family's 1533-position model. The record is from RNAcentral.